This is a long non-coding RNA of Metopolophium dirhodum (rose-grain aphid), 2712 nucleotides long. RefSeq lists it as uncharacterized. The record is from RefSeq and is a predicted model, not a curated record. The transcript has 3 exons. NCBI's taxonomy places the organism in Eukaryota, Metazoa, Arthropoda, Insecta, Hemiptera, Aphididae.
UCCCGGACCGUAUAUGAUAAUAUAACGCAAAAAUGUGUCCGCCGACUGUUUACCUGCAAGGUCACCGCUAAAUGACCACCCCUUUCAGUCUUCACCCCGUUUUUGUAUAAUGUUUAAUAUAACGUAAACACCCACAUACUUUUGUCCGACGACUGUACCCUAACCUACAAAAGAUCACCGCUGAAUGACCACAACCACCCUUUCAGUCGUCACUCCAAUGUAUAGUCAUACAAAACCAUGACGUCUCCGUGUUUAAAGUAUUUUAAAAUGUCGUGUACCAGCAGCCAAGUGUCUACUAUAAAUACACCAGACAUAUCAGCAGGAUUUAUUGAUUUUUUAGCGAGUGGAGAGUUUGAUGAAAUGCUAUCAAAUACACCAAGACGAGUCUUUUAUAACUCGUUAUUAAGCCAAGAAGAAAAUAUAUCUGUUGGCGAUGAACAAAAUGACCAACGAACAGAUGAUUAUAAUUUUUAAAAAUUGUCAAUAUGUUUGUGAUGACUCGAGGUUUCCUCCACACAUUUGGGCAUUACAUUCUGGAACGAUAGCAGUAGCACAAACAACAAAUUCCGUCAAAUCUUUUCAUUUACAUUUCAAAGAUAACUUCAAUAUCUACGUCACAUAUAUUCACAUUCAAAAAACCACAACUUAUUUAAUGUUUUAUCAGAAGUAGGUAUAAUAAAAUAUUUACAUUAAAAUUAGAAGCGUAUAGGCACACAGACAACCAGGAAACAUACUUUAAUCUGUUAGAAUUCUAUUAAAUGAAAUAAAGAGAAAGAGAAAAAACCAGAUUUAAUUUUGUACAAUUUGUAGGUCAUUACUUUAAAAAUUGUUGUUUUUGACUAAUAAUUAUUUUUAUUUUUUUUUUAAUUAUUUAUUUAUACGCCUCCACUGUUAAGGUUAUUGCAUAACUAAUUAUUUAUUAUUUAAAUUAUUAGUUAUUAAUUAUUAUUAACUGAUUCUAUACGAUUUUAUAUAUUGUGUUCAUAUUUAAUUUAAUAUUAUCGUGGCUUUAGUGAAUUAAUGAAUAUGAGAAUUACAAUAAUUUGAAUUUAAAAUUAUAUAAUUUGUACAUUUAGUCUAAAGCCAAUCAAAUUUCUAACAUGACGUUUAUUUUUACUUACAAAUGAAUAAUUCAAUACAAGCAUUGUUUUUUUUUAAAUUUACAGGUUAAGCAACAACCAAAAAUAAUUGAUGCUAUUGUAUAUUUAUAAAUUAUAAUUGUAUUGCUAAAUUAGGUAAUAUACUAAAUGGCAAAUUAUAUUUAAACUUAAUAAUUUUUUUCAAAAUAAUGUUCAUGACUUUAUGCUUUUAGAUUUUUUAUAUUAUAUCCAAGGUAGUUAUAACUUAUAAUACGGCAUGGUAAUGCAACUUCACAUAAUCGAAAUUUCGAUUGUUGUUUAUAAUCGUUGCCGUAACAAAUUCAUACUGCCAGUAUAUGGUGGAACCAAACAUAUUAAAGGAAUAUAAAGCACGAUACUUGAAUCUUGUUAUCUUAUAGUAUAUUUUUUAUUAAUUUGUAACAUCCAGAUAAGUACAUACUAUUUAAUAUUAAUUAUAUCUUAAUUAUUUAUAGACGAUAAUAGUUUAUUUUAUACUAAUUAGGUACUUACACUAUAUUAUCGGUAUUUAUUUAUUAAUUAUUAUAUUUAACGGUCGAGGCCGAUUACAUUAAGUAGGUAAUAUGCCAUAUGGAAAUACAUAAAACAACCAUGUACCUAUAGAGUAUAUUAUAGAGUACUUGAUUUUGUGUAAGGUUCCAUUUACAUUUAAGUGAUCAAAUUAUUAAGGUAAACAUUAAAAGAAUCAACAGAAUUAGUAAAUAUUCUAUCAAUGUUAAAAUUGUUUACAUGUUGCAAUUUAUUAUUCUAAUCAGUGGUGGCUUAAGGAGGGGUGGAGGCAAGGAUCGUGCCCCUCAUAUUCCAAAAAAAUAAAUAAAAAGAACAGGGGAAUGGUAGGUACCAACUAUACAAUUUAAUUUAAUAUAAUAUACGAUUUUGUUUUUAGGGUACCUAUAUUAUAAUAUUAUAUUUCGGCGGUUCUUACAAUAACACGAGAUGUUUUGUAAAAAAAAGGUGUUAAAAAAAAAUUUGAUAAGGGGGUCUAUGAUUUCUAAAAAUCUUUCAUCAGGAAUUCGUGAUCUACAAAUGAUUAAGCUGUUAUAUUAUAUUAAAUAUUAAUAUAGGUACUCGAUAUCGUUUAAUAUUGUAAGCUCUCUCGUUUUGUAGUCGUUAUCUUAUAUUUUCGUGUACCUAGUACGCUAAACGUUAGUACGUAGUACAUACGUGCAUAGGCGUAAACAGGGGGGCUAGAGGGCUUUAGCCCCCCCCCCAAAAAAAAACUAAUGAUUUAAUUAUUAUAAUUUAAAAGCAUCAUAAGAGUAUAGACUUGAGCUUCAGCCCCCCCACCCCAAAUUUCAAACAUUAUAUUUACGCCACUGCAUACGUGGUUUUCAAACAGGGACUCUCGGGUUCUCUAUUUAUAAUUCUAAUUUGGUUAAUUUAUGAUCGUUAAUAUUAUGUUUGACGACUGUCAUCGUGUUUAGAUUUCAAAGUAAUUUAUUGUUUCAAUGCUAUUGUAGCUGUGAAUCAGAAACCACAGAAAGAUCCUUUUCAACACUACGACGGCUUAAAAUAUGGUUGACUACAACACUCCAGGCCGUAACUAAAAACAUAUUUCGGGGGAUCCAAAAUUUUUUUAAUAUGGAUACUACGA